Molecule: ribosomal RNA, 275 nt
Filed under: uncultured bacterium
Lineage: Bacteria
Description: partial 16S ribosomal RNA
Rfam family: Bacterial small subunit ribosomal RNA
Source: RNAcentral
CCUACGGGUGGCUGCAGUGGGGAAUCUUGCGCAAUGGGCGAAAGCCUGACGCAGCGACGCCGCGUGGGUGAUGAAGGCCUUCGGGUUGUAAAGCCCUGUGGGAGAAGACGAAUAAGUCGUCGUGAACAACGACGAUGAUGACUCCAAUCUCUUAGCAAGCACCGGCUAACUCUGUGCCAGCAGCCGCGGUAAGACAGAGGGUGCAAACGUUGUUCGGAAUUACUGGGCGUAAAGCGCGUGUAGGCGGCUCGAUAGGUCAGGUGUGAAAUCCCUCG